UACAGUGGUCUCAAGCGUUGUUCGGAUUCAUUGGGCGUAAAGGGUGUGUAGGUGGCGCGCUAAGUCGGGUGUGAAAUUUCGGAGCUUAACUCCGAAGCUGCAUUCGAUACUGGCGUGCUUGAGGACUGGAGAGGAGACUGGAAUUUACGGUGUAGCAGUGAAAUGCGUAGAUAUCGUAAGGAAGACCAGUGGCGAAGGCGGGUCUCUGGACAGUUCCUGACACUGAGACACGAAGGCCAGGGGAGCAAACGGG
This 253-nucleotide ribosomal RNA is filed under the name uncultured bacterium. Its description in RNAcentral is "partial 16S ribosomal RNA". It matches the Rfam family "Bacterial small subunit ribosomal RNA", at positions 524 to 776 of the family's 1533-position model. The record is from RNAcentral.